ACACGGCCCAGACUCCUACGGGAGGCAGCAGUGGGGAAUAUUGCACAAUGGGCGAAAGCCUGAUGCAGCGACGCCGCGUGAGGGAUGACGGCCUUCGGGUUGUAAACCUCUUUCGCCAGGGACGAAGCGCAAGUGACGGUACCUGGAUAAGAAGCACCGGCUAACUACGUGCCAGCAGCCGCGGUAAUACGUAGGGUGCGAGCGUUGUCCGGAUUUAUUGGGCGUAAUGAGCUCGUAGGCGGUUUGUCGCGUCGGCCGUGAAAUCUCCACGCUUAACGUGGAGCGUGCGGUCGAUACGGGCAGACUUGAGUUCGGUAGGGGAGACUGGAAUUCCUGGUGUAGCGGUGAAAUGCGCAGAUAUCAGGAGGAACACCGGUGGCGAAGG
This 385-nucleotide ribosomal RNA is filed under the name uncultured bacterium. RNAcentral describes it as "bacterial SSU rRNA". It matches the Rfam family "Bacterial small subunit ribosomal RNA", at positions 324 to 721 of the family's 1533-position model. The record is from RNAcentral.